ACUCCUACGGGAGGCAGCAGUGGGGAAUUUUGCGCAAUGGGGGAAACCCUGACGCAGCAACGCCGCGUGAGUGAUGAAGGCCUUCGGGUUGUAAAGCUCUUUUAGUGGGGAAGAAGCCCUCCAGGACUAAUAAUCCUGGGGUCUGACGGUACCCACAGAAAAAGUUCCGGCUAACUACGUGCCAGCAGCCGCGGUAAUACGUAGGGAGCAAGCGUUGUUCGGAAUUAUUGGGCGUAAAGAGCGCGUAGGCGGUUCGGUAAGUCUGACGUGAAAUCCCGGAGCUUAACUCCGGAACUGCGUUGGAUACUGCCGGGCUUGAGUGUGGGAGAGGAGAGUGGAAUUCCCAGUGUAGAGGUGAAAUUCGUAGAUAUUGGGAGGAACACCCGUGGCGAAGGCGGCUCUCUGGACCACAACUGACGCUGAGGCGCGAAAGCUAGGGGAGCAAACGGGAUUAGAUACCCCGGUAGUCCUAGCCGUAAACGAUGGGCACUAGGUGUUGGAGGUAUCGACCCCUCCAGUGCCGCAGCUAACGCAUUAAGUGCCCCGCCUGGGGA
Molecule: ribosomal RNA, 554 nt
Filed under: uncultured bacterium
Lineage: Bacteria
Description: bacterial SSU rRNA
Rfam family: Bacterial small subunit ribosomal RNA
Source: RNAcentral